AUACAGGGUGACAGCCCCGUACACAAAAAUGCACAUGCUGUGAGCUCGAUGAGUAGGGCGGGACACGUGGUAUCCUGUCUGAAUAUGGGGGGACCAUCCUCCAAGGCUAAAUACUCCUGACUGACCGAUAGUGAACCAGUACCGUGAGGGAAAGGCGAAAAGAACCCCGGCGAGGGGAGUGAAAAAGAACCUGAAACCGUGUACGUACAAGCAGUGGGAGCACAGAGCAAUCUGUGUGACUGCGUACCUUUUGUAUAAUGGGUCAGCGACUUAUAUUCUGUAGCAAGGUUAACCGAAUAGGGGAGCCGAAGGGAAACCGAGUCUUAACUGGGCGUUAAGUUGCAGGGUAUAGACCCGAAACCCGGUGAUCUAGCCAUGGGCAGGUUGAAGGUUGGGUAACACUAACUGGAGGACCGAACCGACUAAUGUUGAAAAAUUAGCGGAUGACUUGUGGCUGGGGGUGAAAGGCCAAUCAAACCGGGAGAUAGCUGGUUCUCCCCGAAAGCUAUUUAGGUAGCGCCUCGUGAAUUCAUCUCCGGGGGUAGAGCACUGUUUCGGCAAGGGGGUCAUCCCGA
This 575-nucleotide ribosomal RNA is filed under the name Escherichia coli. RNAcentral's name for it is "partial 23S ribosomal RNA". It matches the Rfam family "Bacterial large subunit ribosomal RNA", at positions 357 to 934 of the family's 2925-position model. Lineage: Bacteria; Pseudomonadati; Pseudomonadota; Gammaproteobacteria; Enterobacterales; Enterobacteriaceae. The record is from RNAcentral.